AGGAGGUCCCGCCUGCCCUGUGACCAGAAGUUUAACGGCCGCGGUAUUUUAACCGUGCAAAGGUAGCGCAAUCAAUUGUCUUUUAAAUGAAGACCUGUAUGAAUGGCAUAACGAGGGUUUAACUGUCUCUUUUUUCAGGUCAAUGAAACUGAUCUGUCCGUGCAGAAGCGGACAUAUUAACACAAGACGAGAAGACCCUAUGGAGCUUUAGACGCCCACCAACCGCGAAAAGCAGCCUACCUUAACAGAUGCUCUAAACAACGCGGUCCUGGUACAAACGUCUUCGGUUGGGGCGACCGCGGAGGAGAACAAAGCCUCCGAGAGGAAUGGGAACAAACCCUAAAACCAAGAGCCACAGCUCUAAGUCACAAAAAAUUUGACCGACAAUGAUCCGGCUUACUGCCGAUCAACGGACCAAGUUACCCUAGGGAUAACAGCGCAAUCCCCUCCCAGAGUCCAUAUCGACGAGGGGGUUUACGACCUCGAUGUUGGAUCAGGACAUCCUAAUGGUGCAGCCGCUAUUAAGGGUUCGUUUGUUCAACGAUUAAAGUCCUACGUGAUCUG
Molecule: ribosomal RNA, 564 nt
Filed under: Sardinella longiceps (Indian oil sardine)
Lineage: Eukaryota; Metazoa; Chordata; Actinopteri; Clupeiformes; Clupeidae
Description: partial 16S ribosomal RNA
Rfam family: Bacterial large subunit ribosomal RNA
Source: RNAcentral